GAAUAUUGGACAAUGGGGGAAACCCUGAUCCAGCCAUGCCGCGUGUGUGAAGAAGGUCUUCGGAUUGUAAAGCACUUUAAGUUGGGAGGAAGGGCGUCAAGCUAAUACCUUGAUGCUUUGACGUUACCAACAGAAUAAGCACCGGCUAACUCUGUGCCAGCAGCCGCGGUAAUACAGAGGGUGCAAGCGUUAAUCGGAAUUACUGGGCGUAAAGCGUGCGCAGGCGGUUAUAUAAGACAGAUGUGAAAUCCCCGGGCUCAACCUGGGAACUGCAUCCAAAACUGGCGAGCUAGAGUAGGGCAGAGGGUGGUGGAAUUUCCUGUGUAGCGGUGAAAUGCGUAGAUAUAGGAAGGAACACCAGUGGCGAAGGCGACCACCUGGGCUCAUACUGACACUGAGGUGCGAAAGCGUGGGGGGCAAACAG
RNAcentral lists this ribosomal RNA (424 nucleotides) under uncultured bacterium. RNAcentral's name for it is "partial 16S ribosomal RNA". It matches the Rfam family "Bacterial small subunit ribosomal RNA", at positions 359 to 775 of the family's 1533-position model. The record is from RNAcentral.